UAUUUUGACUAUACAAAGGUAUUGUAAUAAGACUUUAAUUGAGUGCUAAAAGAAUGGAGUUUCAAAAAAAGUCUAUCUUGAAUUUAAAAAUUGAAUUUAUUUUUAUUUGUGAAGAAACAAUAAUUAAAAUUAAGGACAAGAAGACCCUAAGAAUUUUUAAUUUUGUAUAUAUAUAUAUUUAUAUAUACAAAAUUUUAAUUGGGGCGAUUAAAAAAUAUAAUUAACUUUUAAUUUUAAAAAAUGAUCCAUUAUUAAUGAUUUAAUGUAAAAAAUACUCUAGGGAUAACAGCGUAAUAAUUUUAGAUAGAUCUUAUAGAAAAAAUAGUUUGCGACCUCGAUGUUGGAUUAGGAUUCUUUUUUAAUGAAGAAGUUAAAAUAAGAAGUUUGUUCAACUUUUAAAAUCC
Molecule: ribosomal RNA, 404 nt
Filed under: Haemaphysalis flava
Lineage: Eukaryota; Metazoa; Arthropoda; Arachnida; Ixodida; Ixodidae
Description: partial 16S ribosomal RNA
Source: RNAcentral